AGAAAUUAGCAUUUUGUAGCCCAAAUUUUGCCAUCCAGAACAUACUCAGAAAAAAAAAAAAUUCAAAGAAUGGUAAUUUCUUCUGUCAAAAAAAGGAACCCAGGGAUACCACGCUACAGAUGUCUACAAAACUUAGGUCAGGAAACGUGAUCCUGGCUGGCAGAGCUGAUGAGGGGAUGCUGAGCUGUUUUACCACAGGCCUCUGCUUAGAAACUAAUGGUUUUUGUUUUACAAAACCAAAGCUGAAACUAUGGAGCCUGCUUAUUUUCAUCAACCAUAGGUGGACACCCAAUGUACGGCUGAGAGAAAACUUGGGACCCCAGAGGGCUGCCCAGGCGGGGACUUGGUACCAGAAGUUUCCCCUUGUGCCCCUCCUAACCUGAGCUGCUCUCCUGGGUUAAGGCAAAACUUCGAGACUUUUCAUUUUUCAGAAGCUUGAAGCCUCGCCUUCUUGAUUCUUUCAAUAGGGUGUAAUUAAAAUAAGGGAAAGCUUGGACUGCCCCAGCUUUGCUACAAAAAAUGAGACUAAGUUCAUCAGCUCUGAAGAGAUGGGCACCAGCUCCUUCCAGCUGGAAGUCUCCCUUAAGUUACUGGAGGCCUAGUGGAAUGUCAAGGAGGUGGUCCCUUUCUGAUGCGUCCAGCUACACAGGUGACUCCAACCAGAUAAUGAAAAUAGGAAAAGAUGGGAAGCACAUAUGAGGGAGGAUCACCCUGUGCUUUGAAUU
RNAcentral lists this long non-coding RNA (725 nucleotides) under Oryctolagus cuniculus (rabbit). Its description in RNAcentral is "lncRNA (ENSOCUG00000035211.1)". The record is from RNAcentral. Lineage: Eukaryota; Metazoa; Chordata; Mammalia; Lagomorpha; Leporidae.